CCCUUAGAUGCCCGGGGCUGCACGCGCGCUACACUGAAGGAAUCAGCGUGCUAAAACCAUUGUCGAAAGGCAUUGGUAAACCCAUUAAAAUCCUACGUGAUUGGGAUCGGGAAUUGCAAUUAUUUCCCUUGAACGAGGAAUUCCCAGUAAGUGUGGGUCAUAAGCUCGCGUUGAUUACGUCCCUGCCCUUUGUACACACCGCCCGUCGCUGCCCGGGACUGAGCCGUUUCGAGAAAAGCGGGGACUGCUGCUGUCGGGGCUUUCGGGCCUUGGCUUCGGUGGAAACCGCUUUAAUCGCAGUGGCUUGAACCGGGCAAAAGUCGUANCA
RNAcentral lists this ribosomal RNA (328 nucleotides) under uncultured eukaryote. Its description in RNAcentral is "partial 18S ribosomal RNA". It matches the Rfam family "Eukaryotic small subunit ribosomal RNA", at positions 1470 to 1796 of the family's 1831-position model. The record is from RNAcentral.